Helicoverpa zea (corn earworm) is the source of this 744-nucleotide long non-coding RNA. RefSeq lists it as uncharacterized. The record is from RefSeq and is a predicted model, not a curated record. The transcript is spliced from 5 exons. Lineage: Eukaryota; Metazoa; Arthropoda; Insecta; Lepidoptera; Noctuidae.
AUAGAAAUAAUUCUGCUAUAGUACGCAAAUUAUUUGGAAAACAUGGAAGAAACUAAAAACAACACAAAUACACUUAUACGUGGUGAAAACUGGACCCAGGAAGAAAAGGAUCUGUUCCUCGAAAUAAUGUGGGAGUCCGCACCUAUUGUCGAGAAUAAAUUAACGGAUACUAAUACUAACAGAAGAAAAAAACUGGAAUUGUUGAAUAUCCAAAACAAGUCCCAGAUGAACCUCUUGUCAAUGGAGAUAACAACACUAUACAUAGACGCGACAGCACUUUGAAAGACUUAUAUGAGGAUUUUGAUAUAUUAGAAGAAGGUGAAACUGUUACAGUAAUGCUGAUGUGCACAACAAAGAGGUAUUUAGUACCUACCUACUAAAAUUUGUACUUAUUUCAUAAUGAGUCUUUAUUUGAUCAUCUUCACAACUACUAUUAAUUAAAACAUGAUUAUUGUUACAGUUAAAAAAAACAUUACCUGCAAGACCGCGCUGCUCAACAGCAACCUUGAAAUCAAAAAACAAGCCAUGGAAAUGAUGGUAGAAGAGCACAAACUUAAGAUGAAAUACCACAGGCAAAAGUUAGCCCACCAGGAAUUAAAACAUAGGAUGGAGAUAGGGAAAAUAGAAAUAGAACUAUUAAAAAAAAAAACUUAAAGAAUAACUUUUAUUCAAGCAUCUAUAUUCUAAGUGCAAUUAUUAUUAUGUAAGUUAAUAUAGUAACUAAUUAAAAUGUUGAUUAAUAAA